GAUGAAGAACGCAGCGAAAUGCGAUAAGUAAUGCGAAUUGCAGAAUUCCGUGAGUCAUCGAAUCUUUGAACGCACAUUGCGCCCCUUGGUAUUCCGAGGGGCAUGCCUGUUCGAGCGUCAUUAUAACCCUUCAAGCUCAGCUUGGUGUUGGGGCCUGCUGUAACUGGUAGCCCUUAAAAUCAGUGGCAGUGCUAUUAGGCUCUAAGCGUAGUAAUUCUUCUCGCUAUAGUGUGUAGUGAGCGCUUGCCAGAACCCCAAACUUUUAUAUGAUUGACCUCGGAUCAGGUAGGGAUACCCGCUGAACUUAAGCAUAUCAAUAAGCGGAGGA
This 328-nucleotide unclassified non-coding RNA is filed under the name soil metagenome. RNAcentral describes it as "partial contains 5.8S ribosomal RNA, internal transcribed spacer 2, and large subunit ribosomal RNA". The stretch from base 1 to 120 matches the Rfam family "5.8S ribosomal RNA", at positions 35 to 154 of the family's 154-position model. The record is from RNAcentral.